GAAACCAAUUGAAUCAACAGAUUCAAGGGCUGCUUUUGUAUUUUCCUUUUUGUUUUCAAUUUGUAUUUAUGUUUUUGUAUGUAUGUUCGGUAAUUGGCAUUUGGAGUUUGCUAGGAUUUGCCACUCUACUGUUAAAGAAGAAACCAAUGGCACUUUUCAUAUUGAGGAUCUACAGUUGAUUCCAUGUGAUUUAUAUGCUGCCACACCCAAACCCAUUGACUUUUCCCCUUUUGGCAAACAGUCAAAAAAUAAUCAUCACUGGGUGGUGCAGAAAAACUGAUGCCCAGACUAAAUCUGAAAGUGCAAAAACUAAUAGUCAGAAUGGCACAAGCACGAGUCAGAAGACCAGUAAUGGAAACAGUGUGAAAGGCCAAGAGGGUGUGUCUGUCACGCAAUGGAAAGACCACAAAAGCAUGCCUGAAGUGCCCGACAUCCCGAGCCGCGUCCGAAACACUCUCCCAAGAACACCAACCAGCUAAGUGACCCUGACCUAUGAUGUUGAGGACAUUUCCAGGGCCCACUCCUCCCUGCCACACCCCUCCAGACCCACCAGACCCCCGUCGCCCCCUCCCAUCAACCCAUCAAAGUGGGACUCGACCUUGUGACGAUUCCAGGACAAUCCAUAAUCUGGACAUCAACCUCUGUGCUUCAAAACCCACCCAGCCUUCACAACAGGAGAGCCCAGACCUCCUGCAAGAGACAGAGAAAGAGAGAGACAGAAAAAAAUAGAGACAGGAAUUUGUGGUUCUUACAUUUACAUGAUUACACUUUGACUUAAUUUAAUGCCACCAAGUUUACUUCUUUACUCUGUAUCCUUGGAUGAUUAUCAUGCAAUUUGGUGAUUUGAGGAUUCCUUUUUGUUUUGUAAAAUUUUGUUUUGUAUUUGAUUUGUUGUUCAAAUAAGCUUCACUGCACCUGGCUCUCAGCACAUGCCCCAGUCUGUAAUUGCCAUAAAACCAGACUAGGUCACAUGACAUAAUGAAUGGACAGCAUUCCGUCUGGGUUGGGAUUGGGAUUGGGACAGGGGUGGUGCUCAGACUAAAAUCCCUGCUCUGUGUCUGGCAGAGACGUGGUAGAGUCAACACACAGGACUAAUCCAAGGACUCACACCCCAGUGUGUCUGGUAUUGCCUAGCACAGUAAAGGCCUACACAUCACUCCAUAUAUGUGGUUGGAUCGCAUUUGGAAUUACAUUUCUGUCUGUUUGAAUGCAAUGAUUUGUUGAUUAAAAACGUGCCAGUUGUUCUUUAAA
Long non-coding RNA from Hypomesus transpacificus, 1251 nucleotides. RefSeq lists it as uncharacterized. Lineage: Eukaryota; Metazoa; Chordata; Actinopteri; Osmeriformes; Osmeridae. The transcript is spliced from 5 exons. The record is from RefSeq and is a predicted model, not a curated record.